This 76-nucleotide transfer RNA is filed under the name Opitutus terrae PB90-1. RNAcentral describes it as "tRNA-Phe (GAA) (tRNA-Phe-GAA-1-1)". It matches the Rfam family "tRNA". From Rfam's summary of the family: Transfer RNA (tRNA) molecules are approximately 80 nucleotides in length. Their secondary structure includes four short double-helical elements and three loops (D, anti-codon, and T loops). Further hydrogen bonds mediate the characteristic L-shaped molecular structure. tRNAs have two regions of fundamental functional importance: the anti-codon, which is responsible for specific mRNA codon recognition, and the 3' end, to which the tRNAs corresponding amino acid is attached (by aminoacyl-tRNA synthetases). tRNAs cope with the degeneracy of the genetic code in two manners: having more than one tRNA (with a specific anti-codon) for a particular amino acid; and 'wobble' base-pairing, i.e. permitting non-standard base-pairing at the 3rd anti-codon position. Lineage: Bacteria; Pseudomonadati; Verrucomicrobiota; Opitutia; Opitutales; Opitutaceae. The record is from RNAcentral. RNAcentral also lists the same sequence under 4 other names.
GGCUCGGUAGCUCAGUUGGUAGAGCAGAGGACUGAAAAUCCUUGUGUCCCCGGUUCGAUUCCGGGCUGAGCCACCA